GAGUUUGAUCGUGGCUCAGGAUGAACGCUGGCGGCGUGCCUAAUACAUGCAAGUCGAGCGAACAGAUAAGGAGCUUGCUCCUUUGAAGUUAGCGGCGGACGGGUGAGUAACACGUGGGUAACCUACCUAUAAGACUGGGGAUAACUUCGGGAAACCGGAGCUAAUACCGGAUAACAUUUAGAACCGCAUGGUUCUAAAGUGAAAGAUGGUUUUGCUAUCACUUAUAGAUGGACCCGCGCCGUAUUAGCUAGUUGGUAAGGUAACGGCUUACCAAGGCGACGAUACGUAGCCGACCUGAGAGGGUGAUCGGCCACACUGGAACUGAGACACGGUCCAGACUCCUACGGGAGGCAGCAGUAGGGAAUCUUCCGCAAUGGGCGAAAGCCUGACGGAGCAACGCCGCGUGAGUGAUGAAGGUUUCGGCUCGUAAAACUCUGUUAUUAGGGAAGAACAAAUGUGUAAGUAACUGUGCACAUCUUGACGGUACCUAAUCAGAAAGCCACGGCUAACUACGUGCCAGCCGCCGCGGU
RNAcentral lists this ribosomal RNA (530 nucleotides) under uncultured microorganism. Its description in RNAcentral is "bacterial SSU rRNA". It matches the Rfam family "Bacterial small subunit ribosomal RNA", at positions 9 to 521 of the family's 1533-position model. The record is from RNAcentral.